GCCCACAUACUAAUUGGGAAUAUGUUGACUGAGCAUUUGCAUCUGCUUGCACAUUCAGAAAAAUUUUAGUGAAUCAUUACUUCAUAUUUAUUUGGCUUUUUUUUCCUUUAAUCAUCAGGUGGGUGUUCCAGGAGAGAUUCAUGCAUCCACCAUAGAAAUGCCUGAGAUAUACUAGGUAGCAUGUUUUAUGCCUGUAUUUUGUCAUCAGUGAAGUAGUGAGAAAUUUCUUUCAGAACUUUUGGAAGAUUAUCUACUAGUAAUGUCAAAUAUAUUUCCUGGGGUUAGAAGGUAGUCUGAUUUAAGACCGUUUAUUUUUUUUUCCCCUAAACCUUCAGGGUGGCAGGUCAGGAUGAUAAUCUGAAAACUGUCAUCAUAAGAAACAGAUACCUGCCAAUAACUCUGGAUGGCCACUUGGAAGGCUGCUAUUACAUGGACCUACCAACAUUUUCUAAGUGUGUCUCUCACUUUGCAUUUCCUUCACAUUUUUCCCAUUACUUGGAUCUUCAGCCUCACAUUGUUGUACACCAAUCAACACUCCCUGAGAAGGAAUCAACAUGGACUGGACAAGGAUUUGCUCACAGCCACCCCAUAUCUGGGUGGAGGGGCUGUCAGCAUUCCUGCACCUUUGAGCUGGAGAAGCAGCCGUGGGGCGAGGCUGCUGCAUGUGUGCUCAUUUACUUCUUGGACAAAGAGACGUGCCGUACUGACUACUGACCAGGCAUUGCGCUGGGCACAGUCAGAGGAACCUUCCAGCAAGCCUCUCACCUGCCUUCCUAAGGAGCAAGUGUGUUGUGAUGCUGAGUCCCCUCAGACUACAACCGCACAAGGACACAUUCAUCUACAUGUGAAAGAGCGUGAGCCCGAGAAGGAGGACCAACAUCUCCUAAAACGAGAAAUCACUCCCUGUCUUACCCAUAAGUGGCACCGUCUCACCUUACCCGGGAAGCCCUGUUUGACUCUUGGAAUGCUUACAGAUCUCCAUAUCCCUGAAAUCCUAUGA
This 1000-nucleotide long non-coding RNA is filed under the name Ailuropoda melanoleuca (giant panda). RNAcentral describes it as "lncRNA (ENSAMEG00000024526.1)". The record is from RNAcentral. Lineage: Eukaryota; Metazoa; Chordata; Mammalia; Carnivora; Ursidae.